Gasterosteus aculeatus aculeatus (three-spined stickleback) is the source of this 691-nucleotide long non-coding RNA. Lineage: Eukaryota; Metazoa; Chordata; Actinopteri; Perciformes; Gasterosteidae. The record is from Ensembl.
CAGAUCGGAAAAGAAAAUCUAGAGUGUGCCAUAUUAACAUGUUGAAACGUUAUUUUUCCAGAGUGAGUGAAUCCCCGCUGUCUCUUGCUGCACCCGUGAUGUCCGUGUCCGCUACUCCUCCUCAGUACCACCUAGCCGAUGAUGGGUUGGCAGAGAAAAGUGGUUUGAUGCCGGCCGCGUGUUUGAGAAAUUCAGAGGCAAACGUCUGUCCUGUUCCAUGACAUUGACGUGGAGGGUCACAAACCCAUUAAGCAACAUGCGUAUCGCGUAAAUCCGGCCAAAAGGGCUAUGAUGCAGCAGGAGGAUUUUAACCUGCAGAUCCGCCACAAAAAGGGUACGGAGAACGUAAUCGCAGACGCCUUAUCCAGGUGCUCAGCUUUAUAGGAAGUAAACCUUUUAGGGGAAGGUUUACUUCUUGGGUGUGGGGGUGUUAUGACUGGGGUCAUCUGUGUAGUGUUUGUGGGUUUCUUUUGGUGUCUUUCUGGUUUCUUUAUUCAAACAGGGAUGUGCCACCACCAGGCGCGGAUUGGUGCACGGUCUCCCACCCGUCCUGUGAUUGGCUGCAGCCGGCAUAUAAUGGAAGCCAAGAUGGCGUCCGAGGCAGAGCAGACCAGAGCAGGGGAGAACAGCAGCAGAGCACAACCCUCGUCCUCCUCCUCUUCCAACCAGCCACUUGUAGCAUACCGUGAAG